This 856-nucleotide ribosomal RNA is filed under the name Clostridiales bacterium. RNAcentral describes it as "partial 23S ribosomal RNA". It matches the Rfam family "Bacterial large subunit ribosomal RNA", at positions 1 to 834 of the family's 2925-position model. The record is from RNAcentral. Lineage: Bacteria; Bacillati; Bacillota; Clostridia; Eubacteriales.
GAUUAAGCUACCAAGAGCAUACGAUGGAUGCCUAGGCAUCUGGCGCCGAAGAAGGACGUGAUAAGCUGCGAUAAGCUGCGGUUAGUUGCAAAUAAGCGCUUGACCCGCAGAUCUCCGAAUGGGGGAACCCAGCCAUAGGAAACUAUGGUUGUAUGCAAGUGAAUAAAUAGCUUGCAUACGGGAACCCGGGGAACUGAAACAUCUUAGUACCCGGAGGAAAAGAAAGUAAAUUAACGAUUACCUUAGUAGUGGCGAGCGAACGGGUAAGAGCCCAAACCGUAUAUAGCAAUAUGUGCGGGGUAGUGGACUUGUAUACGGGCACUUGACAUAAGUAGCCGAAGCUGUUUGGAAAACAGCGCGAAACAAUGUAAAAGCCAUGUAAGCGAAACCUAUGUCAUAGCUCACAAGUAUCCGGAGUACCACCCAACACGUGGAAUUGGGUGGGAAGCAGGGAGGACCAUCUCCCAAGGCUAAAUACGACCAGAUGACCGAUAGUGAUUAGUACCGUGAGGGAAAGGUGAAAAGCACCCCGGAAGGGGAGUGAAAUAGAACCUGAAAUCGUGUGCUUACAAGCAGAGAACGCACUACGCACUCCGCAAGGGGUGAAUGUGUUAUCUCGUACUUUUUGUAGAACGGGCCGGCGAGUUACGAUGUGUUGCGAGGUUAAGACAUACAGUGUCGGAGCCGCAGCGAAAGCGAGUCUGAAUAGGGCGAUUUUCAGUAGCAUGUCGUAGACCCGAAACCGAGUGACCUACCCAUGAGCAGGCUGAAACAGGAGUAAAAUCCUGCGGAGGGCCGAACGCACCCCUGUUGAAAUAGUGGGCGAUGACUUGUGGUUAGCGGAGAAAUUCUAAAC